RNAcentral lists this small nuclear RNA (181 nucleotides) under Tupaia belangeri chinensis (Chinese tree shrew). RNAcentral describes it as "Tupaia chinensis (Chinese tree shrew) 7SK RNA". It matches the Rfam family "7SK RNA", at positions 4 to 187 of the family's 331-position model. Rfam says of the family: 7SK was discovered as an abundant small nuclear RNA in the mid-70s but a possible function has only recently been suggested. Two independent studies have found that 7SK RNA binds the CDK9/cyclin T complex (known as elongation factor P-TEFb). The record is from Rfam by way of RNAcentral. Lineage: Eukaryota; Metazoa; Chordata; Mammalia; Scandentia; Tupaiidae.
UGUGAGGGCAAUCUUAUUGUGACAUCUGUCACCCUAUUGAUCACCAGGAUUGAUUUGGUUGAUUGGUUGGCUGAGUGGUUGUCCCUUUCCUUUCUCACCACUACUUGUGUAUCUUUUUUAAAAUGUAGCUCAGCCAAAGAGGAUGAUCUUCCUGGAUAAAGGAGGACUGUUCUUUCUUUCU